RNAcentral lists this ribosomal RNA (739 nucleotides) under uncultured bacterium. RNAcentral describes it as "bacterial SSU rRNA". It matches the Rfam family "Bacterial small subunit ribosomal RNA", at positions 8 to 795 of the family's 1533-position model. The record is from RNAcentral.
AGGGUUUGAUCCUGGCUCAGAACGAACGCUGGCGGCAGGCCUAACACAUGCAAGUCGAGCGCACCUUCGGGUGAGCGGCGGACGGGUUAGUAACGCGUGGGAAUAUGCCCUUCUCUACGGAAUAGCCUCGGGAAACUGAGAGUAAUACCGUAUACGCCCUUCGGGGGAAAGAUUUAUCGGAGAAGGAUUAGCCCGCGUUGGAUUAGGUAGUUGGUGAGGUAACGGCUCACCAAGCCGACGAUCCAUAGCUGGUUUGAGAGGAUGAUCAGCAACACUGGGACUGAGACACGGCCCAGACUCCUACGGGAGGCAGCAGUGGGGAAUCUUAGACAAUGGGGGAAACCCUGAUCUAGCCAUGCCGCGUGAGUGACGAAGGCCCUAGGGUCGUAAAGCUCUUUCAACUGUGAAGAUAAUGACGGUAGCAGUAGAAGAAACCCCGGCUAACUCCGUGCCAGCAGCCGCGGUAAUACGGAGGGGGUUAGCGUUGUUCGGAAUUACUGGGCGUAAAGCGUACGUAGGCGGAUUAGUAAGUUAGAGGUGAAAUCCCAGGGCUCAACCCUGGAACUGCCUUUAAUACUGCUAGUCUUGAGUUCGAGAGAGGUGAGUGGAAUUCCGAGUGUAGAGGUGAAAUUCGUAGAUAUUCGGAGGAACACCAGUGGCGAAGGCGGCUCACUGGCUCGAUACUGACGCUGAGGUACGAAAGUGUGGGGAGCAAACAGGAUUAGAUACCCUGGUAGUC